UAGGGAAUCUUCCGCAAUGGGCGAAAGCCUGACGGAGCAACGCCGCGUGAGUGAUGAAGGUCUUCGGAUCGUAAAACUCUGUUAUUAGGGAAGAACAAAUGUGUAAGUAACUAUGCACGUCUUGACGGUACCUAAUCAGAAAAGCACGGCUAACUACGUGCCAGCAGCCGCGGUAAUACGUAGGUGGCAAGCGUUAUCCGGAAUUAUUGGGCGUAAAGCGCGCGUAGGCGGUUUUUUAAGUCUGAUGUGAAAGCCCACGGCUCAACCGUGGAGGGUCAUUGGAAACUGGAAAACUUGAGUGCAGAAGAGGAAAGUGGAAUUCCAUGUGUAGCGGUGAAAUGCGCAGAGAUAUGGAGGAACACCAGUGGCGAAGGCGACUUUCUGGUCUGUAACUGACGCUGAUGUGCGAAAGCGUGGGGAUCAAACAGG
This 429-nucleotide ribosomal RNA is filed under the name Actinomycetes bacterium. RNAcentral describes it as "Actinobacteria bacterium partial 16S ribosomal RNA". It matches the Rfam family "Bacterial small subunit ribosomal RNA", at positions 355 to 776 of the family's 1533-position model. Lineage: Bacteria; Bacillati; Actinomycetota; Actinomycetes. The record is from RNAcentral.